AUUGAUACAGUGGGAUCAGCCAGUUUUGAUGGGGUGUCUUUUGCAGGAAGCUCUGGCUGGCUGUCAUCAUGUUGGAGAAACCUGGACACUGACAUCACGGGCAGUCAUGGGAGGAAGUGGUAAUGUACAUCCACAGCCCAAGGAGAGAGAGAUGGCUCCAACAGGCUCUUGGAGAGUGAGGACCAUGGCGUUGCAUCCACAGACCACGGCUCCAGGGAGUGUUGCCCACUUGUUCAUUAUUUUCUGGGUUUACCAGCUGGACCUCAGCAUGCAGGCUGAGGUGGAAGAAAGGGUACAGGCCAUGGUGGAAAGGUCCAGUCUGCUUUCCCAACGUCUAGUGAGUACAGGACAGGUAGGUCUGUGUCCUCAUGCUGGGUCAUAACAAAGGGACCCCAAUCAGUGUCCAAAGAUGCAUCUUUGGUGCCCUACAUCUAUAUUCUGUCCCUAUAUCCAAGUUCCACUACCCGUGGUGAAUUCCCAAACCUUCCACUCACCCCCUUCCCACUGUCAUUCCGAACUGCUUCCCCUCCCACAGCAAGAAACAACCCUAUCCUGGAGCCAGCCACCCCACAGGGACCCUUUGCCCAGGUCUCUGACUAGUACAAGAAGGGUCCCUUGGAAUCCACCCCUGCUGCUUUCUUCAGGUUUCCUCAGGUCUCCACUCGAGUCUCCCUGUCAGCUUCGCCCCAGUACCACCACCCACCUACUCCCAGGAGGCAAGUCUGUUGCUGGUUGAGGUGAGCAAAUUCAUGGCUAACUCUGCUCUCAGUGGUGUGGUGAUUGCUCUGGUGGGGGCUCCUGGAGGGAUGGGAUUUGGGAAGCCCUUAACUCACUUUCCUCUAGUGAUCUAUUGGCUCUCCUUUUAGGAGCUGCACUUCUGGCCCCUCAACAGCAUGCUCCUCCUCCCCCGGGCAAACUCCUGUUCUCGCUUCAAGAUCUUGUUCAUGGAGCCUCUGUGGUCUCUUGGCAGCAGGGUCAUAGAUGACCCUCAAGAAAGGGACCAGCUAGAACUGGGAGUCCAUGAGUGGUGCUCAGGAAAGCGGUAAUAUGGAGGUUGUCCAGGUCAGGAAGCCUGGGCUGGGAGCAUCCUGGAGCUGGAGGGAGUUCUACCCAGCUCAGGGCCCUGGGCUUGGUACUUCUGGUAGGCCCCCUAUUGCUAGUUUUGCCAGGUCCUAGAGAAGAUGCUCAUUCACCUUUGUGCUCUGUGCACUGUGGGUCACCACCCUGCAUCCCUGCAUCCCCCAGACCCCACUCUCCUUUAUUCUGCUUCUGUGCAGAUGUCACACAUGCAGUAGACAGACAAACCCUGAGCACAUGGUGUCCAGACACUGGCCCUGUCCAGAGGCUCUGUCCACGCAUGAACCCAGGUGCACAUGUGCCUG
Molecule: long non-coding RNA, 1382 nt
Filed under: Mus spicilegus (steppe mouse)
Lineage: Eukaryota; Metazoa; Chordata; Mammalia; Rodentia; Muridae
Description: lncRNA (ENSMSIG00000013488.1)
Source: RNAcentral